Long non-coding RNA from Amphiprion ocellaris (clown anemonefish), 528 nucleotides. The record is from Ensembl. Lineage: Eukaryota; Metazoa; Chordata; Actinopteri; Pomacentridae.
GUGAUGCUGUGUGAGUAGAUGGAGGUUGUUGCGUUCAGGGCCGGUCUGAGCACUUUUCUGUCCUCUAAGGUGAACCAGACGUGCAGGUGUGAUCUACCAGACCUGGUUGCUGAUGUGCGACACCUGUUCUAAAGCCCCUCCUCCACUCAGAAUUUCUCUCCCAGACAGGAAUCUAUCUGUCCAUCUCUCCAUCCAUCCAUUAUCUAGACACCGCUUUAUCCUCUGAAGGGUAUCGAGGGACUGGAGUCUAUCCCUGCUGACUCAGGGUGAAGACAGGGGACACCCUGGACAGCUGGGGUUGUAACAUCAUGGGGACUCGUCCGGGAUCUGAACUCUUGGACCAAAGUGGGAAUCACAUCCUUAGACCCAUCCCAACAAUUAGGGGGUAAAUCUAGUCUGGGAUCUCCGUGUGAAGCGAUUUUUGGUAGACUAUUUGUAAUGUUUACAGAUCUAGUCCCAAACUGCUCACAAACCAUUUGGGGCCUGAUAAUAUCAAGCAUAUUUGAUAUUUUCAAUUGAAUAUCUGGA